This is a non-coding RNA of Camellia sinensis, 534 nucleotides long. The record is from RefSeq and is a predicted model, not a curated record. Lineage: Eukaryota; Viridiplantae; Streptophyta; Magnoliopsida; Ericales; Theaceae.
GAAUCAGUCGUGUUUGGCCCUCUUGUUGGCUCUUCUCCUCCCUCUUCUCUUCCGCCAUAGCCGAAGCUUCCAAGGACCACCAGCCUCGUCGACGAUCCGGGCUUCAGCCAUGUCGACAUCUUCUUCACAAGCUCUCACUCUCUGGACUUCUCCACCAUGGGUUUGUGACCAAAGACCUAGUCAUCGUCUUUUCCCUUCCCUUCUAGUCGAAUCGAAUUUUUCCGAGAACUCUUUUCCGUAGUUCAGUUUUGGCCAUCAAUUUCAUGGACAUUGCCAUAGCAAUUGCCAACUAUCAAAGAGGAAGGUAACAUGUAAUUAAUGCUUCUUCUCUUUUUUCUUUUCCCUUUUUUUAGUGUAUAAUGGAAAAACAAUUAUUGUGGUUGUUUGUAUAGGUAGUGAGCUUUUUCCCCUGUUUCUUCUAUUUUCUUUUUCAUUUUUUUUUAAAAUAUAAAUAUGUUCCUAUUCUUAACAAACAUCAUGUUUCCACGAGUCUUAUGGAUGUAAACCCAGAAACUUUAAAGUUGUUACUGUCUU